RNAcentral lists this ribosomal RNA (206 nucleotides) under uncultured bacterium. Its description in RNAcentral is "partial 16S ribosomal RNA". It matches the Rfam family "Bacterial small subunit ribosomal RNA", at positions 568 to 774 of the family's 1533-position model. The record is from RNAcentral.
CUCGUAGGUGGCCAACUAAGUCAUACGUGAAAUCCCUCGGCUUAACCGGGGAACUGCGUCUGAUACUGGAUGGCUUGAGUUUGGGAGAGGGAUGCGGAAUUCCAGGUGUAGCGGUGAAAUGCGUAGAUAUCUGGAGGAACACCGGUGGCGAAGGCGGCAUCCUGGACCAACACUGACGCUGAGGAGCGAAAGCCAGGGAGCAAACG